Molecule: ribosomal RNA, 203 nt
Filed under: uncultured bacterium
Lineage: Bacteria
Description: partial 16S ribosomal RNA
Rfam family: Bacterial small subunit ribosomal RNA
Source: RNAcentral
AUUACUCCUACGGGAGGCAGCAGUGGGGAAUUUUGGACAAUGGGGGCAACCCUGAUCCAGCCAUGCCGCGUGAGUGAAGAAGGCCUUCGGGUUGUAAAGCUCUUUCAGACGGAAAGAAAACUUCGAGGCUAAUACCUUCGGAGGAUGACGGUACCGUAAGAAGAAGCGCCGGCUAACUACGUGCCAGCAGCCGCGGUAAUAAU